AGUGAACACUGGCGGUAGGCCUAACACAUGCAAGUCGAACGGCAGCACAGGAGAGCUUGCUCUCUGGGUGGCGAGUGGCGGACGGGUGAGGAAUACAUCGGAAUCUACUCUGUCGUGGGGGAUAACGUAGGGAAACUUACGCUAAUACCGCAUACGACCUACGGGUGAAAGCAGGGGACCUUCGGGCCUUGCGCGAUUGAAUGAGCCGAUGUCGGAUUAGCUAGUUGGCGGGGUAGAGGCCCACCAAGGCGACGAUCCGUAGCUGGUCUGAGAGGAUGAUCAGCCACACUGGAACUGAGACACGGUCCAGACUCCUACGGGAGGCAGCAGUGGGGAAUAUUGGACAAUGGGCGCAAGCCUGAUCCAGCCAUACCGCGUGGGUGAAGAAGGCCUUCGGGUUGUAAAGCCCUUUUGUUGGGAAAGAAAUCCAGCUGGCUAAUACCCGGUUGGGAUGACGGUACCCAAAGAAUAAGCACCGGCUAACUUCGUGCCAGCAGCCGCGGUAA
This 506-nucleotide ribosomal RNA is filed under the name uncultured bacterium. RNAcentral describes it as "partial 16S ribosomal RNA". It matches the Rfam family "Bacterial small subunit ribosomal RNA", at positions 29 to 523 of the family's 1533-position model. The record is from RNAcentral.